CUAAGGAUGGUUCUUCAGAAGCUUGCUUCUAUCGAACCGUUUUAGAAACAUCAGUGGCCAACAGAUCGCCAGAUCGUUGAGCUGCAUUGGCGGGAUUUCGCCGUCUACGUUUCUCUUUCUUCGCGGACGAACACGCGCUGGGGCUGCAGGCUUGCAGAAUCCCCGGUCCUUAACUGGAUAUGCGUUAGGGGCUUGUAGCUCAGUUGGUUAGAGCGCGCGCUUGAUAAGCGUGAGGUCGGAAGUUCAAGUCUUCCCAGGCCCACCACUUUCAUCGAGUGAGCAUUCGUCUUCUGGUUACGGGGCCAUAGCUCAGCUGGGAGAGCGCGUGCUUUGCAAGCAUGAGGUCGUCGGUUCGAUCCCGUCUGGCUCCACCAGAUGGUUUGAUCACCGAGAUCUUGUACCGUCGUCCGCGAACAUCACUUCGCACUUACUAGUCUGGAUAGACAGUAGGUUGCGUGAUUUCUGACAUCGUAAAGAGGAGAUCGAUCCGAGUUGGAUCGUGCGGCAAGCAAUUGCCACGCGAGACUUCAUUAUCUCCGGAUCAUUUCGGCGCUCGUGCGUCUUUCAAAGGUAGCUCACAAGGCUGCACUUGAGAGACAAGCGAGUUGUAAAUGAUCCUUUUAGCGAAGCUUGACCGCCUCGCUAUCGGAACGAUCUUACGAAGCAAGCUGGUCUUUCUAAUCAUUGUCCGGCUGCAGAUAGCGUUCAUCGAGGGCGCGUGCCGCAAGGUAAUUCUGCAGACAACAUUCUGCCGAGUGUGUGGACAUUGAUAAUGAGAGC
This 780-nucleotide transfer RNA is filed under the name Bradyrhizobium sp. 11LoS20_7. RNAcentral's name for it is "16S-23S ribosomal RNA intergenic spacer". The stretch from base 189 to 262 matches the Rfam family "tRNA". The record is from RNAcentral. Lineage: Bacteria; Pseudomonadati; Pseudomonadota; Alphaproteobacteria; Hyphomicrobiales; Nitrobacteraceae. RNAcentral also lists the same sequence under 1 other name.